RNAcentral lists this ribosomal RNA (235 nucleotides) under Staphylococcus delphini. RNAcentral's name for it is "partial 16S ribosomal RNA". It matches the Rfam family "Bacterial small subunit ribosomal RNA", at positions 1306 to 1533 of the family's 1533-position model. Lineage: Bacteria; Bacillati; Bacillota; Bacilli; Caryophanales; Staphylococcaceae. The record is from RNAcentral.
UGCAACUCGACUACAUGAAGCUGGAAUCGCUAGUAAUCGUAGAUCAGCAUGCUACGGUGAAUACGUUCCCGGGUCUUGUACACACCGCCCGUCACACCACGAGAGUUUGUAACACCCGAAGCCGGUGAAGUAACCAUUUGGAGCUAGCCGUCGAAGGUGGGACAAAUGAUUGGGGUGAAGUCGUAACAAGGUAGCCGUAUCGGAAGGUGCGGCUGGAUCACCUCCUUUCUAAGGA